UUAGAACAAGCUUAUGUCGGCUUAAGCCCAAUUCAUGACGGCCCCAUGCAUGGAAGAGCCCAUUAUUAAAUCCAGUGCCUUAAAAUCUUAUUCAGGUACAAACACUUGCAAAAUUCUCCGUAUAUAGUCCAAACUCAGCUCUUCCUGUCCCAAACUCCAUCAACGUUCAAGAGAUUCACUGUUUCAGAGCUUCUUUUGAAUAUGGAGAAGGGUUUGUACUUCUGUUAUGAUGAGAAAAAUCCGGUGGGUCAUAAUUUCCAAAGUAAAGAGUUACAAGUGUUCUUGGUGAGCAACAAUUUGGAUGAGUUAAGUAUAGAAGUACUUACAGGGGCUGGCGAAAUUGAGCAGAAAGGCGCCAGAGACUGUGGAAAUUUCAACUCAUUUAGUGGUUGGGUUAACAACGCCAAUGGCAACUAAACCACACGGGAAGAUCUCUCAGCAAGAUGUCAUUGACUGUUUCAUUGUGGGGCAACCUACAAAUCUAUUAGGAUUGGCCUGGUUCAGAAUUUGGGAAUUUUGUGGGUGGACGCAACUGUCUGGGGAGUUCUCUUAGAUACUAUACUAUUGGUAGUAGAUCGUUUAGGUGCAUACGUCCACUUUGGGAGGUGGCUACAGUCUGCUUUGAUUGUGGCUGGGGCAGGGUGGCGAGGUAAUUAUAGGCUUCCAUUUGGUUAGUUAAAAUUGGGAGGGGUUACUUGGGGAAUUUUAUGGAAGAAGGCUAAGCACCAAUUAUGCGAAAAGUGGGAGGGGAAUUCUGUGGGGAUCAUGGAGAAACUGAUAGUAUGGUGAGGAAAUGACUGGCCUCUCUAAUGCUUAAUAUUUCAAUGUAAUUGAUUUCAUUCCGCUGUAAUUCCAUUUCUACUUCAAUUCAUUUUGUCUUUACAUUUAGUAAACUAUAUCGAUAUAAUUCCAAGGUUCUCAAAUACUGAAUUAUUAGCCCAUAUCUGUACCUCUUUAUAGUUUAUAUGCAGUUUUUAUUCCAGC
RNAcentral lists this long non-coding RNA (984 nucleotides) under Olea europaea (common olive). RNAcentral's name for it is "long non-coding RNA (OEUR_LNC012884)". Lineage: Eukaryota; Viridiplantae; Streptophyta; Magnoliopsida; Lamiales; Oleaceae. The record is from RNAcentral.